CCUACGGGUGGCAGCAGUAGGGAAUAUUGCUCAAUGGGGGAAACCCUGAAGCAGCAACGCCGCGUGGAGGAUGAAGGUUUUCUGAUUGUUAACUCCUUUUGUUAUAGAAGUUAAUGACGGUAUCUAACGAAUAAUCACCGGCUAACUUCGGGCCAGCAGCCGCGGUAAUACGGAGGGUGCGAGCGUUAUACGGAGUCACCGGGCGUAAAGGGGGCGUAGGAGGGAUAGCAAGUCAGUUGUGAAAUCCUGAGGCUUAACCAUAAAACUGCAGUUGAAAAUGGUAGUUUAGAGUAUAGGAGAGGUAGGUGGAAUUCGUGGUGUAGCGGUGAAAUCCGUAGAUAUCAAGAAGAA
Molecule: ribosomal RNA, 351 nt
Filed under: uncultured bacterium
Lineage: Bacteria
Description: partial 16S ribosomal RNA
Rfam family: Bacterial small subunit ribosomal RNA
Source: RNAcentral